RNAcentral lists this ribosomal RNA (899 nucleotides) under Klebsiella pneumoniae. Its description in RNAcentral is "bacterial SSU rRNA". It matches the Rfam family "Bacterial small subunit ribosomal RNA", at positions 61 to 951 of the family's 1533-position model. Lineage: Bacteria; Pseudomonadati; Pseudomonadota; Gammaproteobacteria; Enterobacterales; Enterobacteriaceae. The record is from RNAcentral.
GUCGAGCGGUAGCACAGAGAGCUUGCUCUCGGGUGACGAGCGGCGGACGGGUGAGUAAUGUCUGGGAAACUGCCUGAUGGAGGGGGAUAACUACUGGAAACGGUAGCUAAUACCGCAUAACGUCGCAAGACCAAAGUGGGGGACCUUCGGGCCUCAUGCCAUCAGAUGUGCCCAGAUGGGAUUAGCUAGUAGGUGGGGUAACGGCUCACCUAGGCGACGAUCCCUAGCUGGUCUGAGAGGAUGACCAGCCACACUGGAACUGAGACACGGUCCAGACUCCUACGGGAGGCAGCAGUGGGGAAUAUUGCACAAUGGGCGCAAGCCUGAUGCAGCCAUGCCGCGUGUAUGAAGAAGGCCUUCGGGUUGUAAAGUACUUUCAGCGGGGAGGAAGGCGAUAAGGUUAAUAACCUUGUCGAUUGACGUUACCCGCAGAAGAAGCACCGGCUAACUCCGUGCCAGCAGCCGCGGUAAUACGGAGGGUGCAAGCGUUAAUCGGAAUUACUGGGCGUAAAGCGCACGCAGGCGGUCUGUCAAGUCGGAUGUGAAAUCCCCGGGCUCAACCUGGGAACUGCAUUCGAAACUGGCAGGCUAGAGUCUUGUAGAGGGGGGUAGAAUUCCAGGUGUAGCGGUGAAAUGCGUAGAGAUCUGGAGGAAUACCGGUGGGGAAAGCGGCCCCCUGGACAAAGACUGACGCUCAGGUGCGAAAGCGUGGGGAGCAAACAGGAUUAGAUACCCUGGUAGUCCACGCCGUAAACGAUGUCGAUUUGGAGGUUGUGCCCUUGAGGCGUGGCUUCCGGAGCUAACGCGUUAAAUCGACCGCCUGGGGAGUACGGCCGCAAGGUUAAAACUCAUAUGAAUUGACGGGGGCGCGCACAAGCGGUGGAGCAUGUGGUUUAAUU